AGCCAUCUGCAAUCCCAAGGAAGGCCCUCAUCUUCAGACGCAGACCAUGUUGGCAAUCUGAUCUUGGACUUCCAUUCUCUAGAACUGCUAUACAGGAAGCAUGGCAGCAUCUGCUUCUGGGGAGGCCUCAGGAAGUUUCCAAUCAUGGCAGAAGGCAAAGGAGGCGUGAAACGUCUUACAUGGCAGGAGCAGAAGCAAGAGAGAGAGCGAGGCGGGAGGUGCUACACACUUCCAAACAACAAGAUCUCAUGAAAACUCACUACCAGAAGAACACCACCAAGGGAAUGGGGCUAAACCUGUCAUGGAAACCACUCCCAUGACCCAUCACCUCCCACCAGGCCUCACCUCUGACACUGGGGAUUACAGUUUGACAUGAGAUAUGUGCAGGGGCACAGAUCCAAAACUUAUCAAAUACGAACUAUAGAUGAUUAUAUUCUGAAUCAGCUACAGUAAUGAUACCAUGAUCAUUUCUCUCUCAGAGAAACAAGACUAUAAUCUCACCACUGAUGAUAUAUAUGUAUGUAUGUAUGUAUAUACACAUAAGUAUCUAUCUGUCUAUAAUUUUUUUUGGUAGGUGUUUUACCAGGAGCUGUGAUAAAUUGACACCUUUUCACUUAGGGCUCCUUGAUCUCAAGGGCUAGACAGGAUUUAGAAUAUAGUCUAUGAUCCUGAGAGAGUAAUUAUGACUGGCCUGUGUAUAGACCUCAUCUGUGAUGUUUGUCUUAGCCUGCCUGUUGGUCCUAAUGUACGUGAGAGACUAGUUUCAUGAAAAGCCUUCUUCUUCAUUAUCUAGACUGUGUACCACAUACCUUUAUUUCCUAAGCUGUGUAACAAAAUGUUUGAAUUGCAUGAUCUCUGAAACCUCUCCAUUCUAUAAUUCUAUUAAGUAAUCUUUCUAUGCAAUUUUUCUUUUAUUCCUUUUUUUUUCGAGAUGGGGGUCUCACUAUGUUAUCCAGGCUGGGCUCCAACUCCUGAGCUCAAGCGAUCCUCCCACCCCAGCCUUCUGAGCAGCUGGAACUAUGGGCAUGUAGCACAGUGCCUGGCAGUUUUUCAUUCUUUUGAUUGAACAUUGUUGCUGGUACAAUCCAGAGUGUCUGUCUGGGUAAGUAAUAAUUCUUGGUUUCACAGCUGGUGAAAUUUUCAUAUAAAUUUGCUCUUCUAUUUUAUUAAGCCUUCCUUGCUAUCAAUUUUCCAUAUAUUAUUGUUAUUAAUUUGAGACAGAGUCUCACUCUAUCACCCAGGCUGGAGUGCAGUGGUGCAAUCUCAGCUCACUGCAACCUCUGUCUCCCGGGUUCAAACAAUUCUCAUGCCUCGGCCUCCCAAGUAGGUGGGAUUACAGGUAUGUGUCACCACACCUGGCUAAAAAUUUUCCGUAUAUAUUAUAUUCAACACAGAAAAGAUUGGGAGAAGACACUAAGUCAGUUUUUCUUUCGGGAGUCCAGUAUUACGUGAUGAGUCAAGUAAAGAAGAAAAGAUAAAGGAAAAUAAGCUCAAGAUGAUUCCAAAGCUUCAGGUCCAGGAAAUAGGGGAAAUGAUAGUGCCAAUAAAGCAUGAGGAAUCUGAACUAAUGAUGCUGGCACAUCUAAAUGGAGGUGAGAAUCACCGAAAAAAAUCAGACUAGAACCCAGGCGAACCAUCAAGGUUGGAGACAGAGGAGAGGUGAGCUUCCUGACAGGGAGCAUAAAACAAAGGAAAGGAAGAACGUGAGCAACCCAGCCAGGACUAGGCACAUGAGACAAGUGAUACAUAGAGUCCCACACACUUACUUGUACUAAACAUUAACCUGCAUGUCCAGUCCUACCCUGAGUCAACCUUGGAAAGAUAAGAGAGAUAUCAGAAAUUUCACCCUCACCAGCAAAGGAGGUUGAGAGAAGAGUGUUGGGGGGGCUGUUAGAGAGCAUCUAGAACACCUUGGCUCAUUAUCUGAUUCACCAAAGCUAAGAAUCCCAGGCCUCUACAGUCGUCAAACUAGCCUUGCCAGGUCAUCACCAUGGUUGCCCAAUCUGUAUGCAUGGUUUCUAUCCCAAUUCCUACUUCUCACUCCACUUCCCCUCUGGGAUUGAAAUGUUACCCUCAUAUUACCCUAUUCUUAGUCUGCCUGGCUGAAGCCCCAGGCUGUUGUUACCUUGCCUAUAUUCGGUCCCUUCUCACUGAUGAAUGGACUAUUGACUAGGGUCCUCCUUCAAGUCAGAGAUCUCCUCUCUCCUCACUCUACCCUCAAUUUUAAAGAUAAAUAAUGAAAGUCAGAACUUUCUGCAAUGAACCACCCUCAUCCACAUACCUGUGGAUCCUUGGCUAUCAGCUCCACUAGAGACGAAGCCACACUCCCUUGGACACUUUGAUCUGGCUUACUGGAUUUUGGAUUGGAGAAAUAAGAGAAAGUCCAUCCAGGAGAGUGUGCUAUCUCUAAAGCCAGGAGAAGAGAAACUUUUAGGGUAAGAGCCAGUUUUCACGCUAAUCAGUCCCUGCAGAAAGAUGAAAGAGAAUGAAGAUGGCCACAGACUGUUAGAUUUGGUAAGAAGUAGGUCACAGUAACAGCAGAGGGAGAUGAUUUCAAUCAUGUGGUAGACCUAGAAGGCAGAUUACCCGGAAUUUUAUUUUGAAUGCUUUUUAUAGUAGAGAAACUCAGAUAAGAAAGAUUCAGUCACUAUGAAACCUUUAUUUAAGUCUGCCUUUGGGUACAAAAUCACAAAAAAUGUCCAUAGAAGUUCAUCCAAUAUUUAUAGCUUCUCAUCUCCUUCAAUUUCCUUCUUCCCUUUCUUUAUUUUUCCUUCUCUUUUCUCUUACACAUCCUACUUACCCCUUCUCAUUUUCAAUUACAUUCCUAGUCUAGCUUAAAUAGAGAUACAGAAAAAAACCUUACUAAAAUAAUGAAAUCGAAAAAUAAAUACAUAAAAUACAUGCCAAGUACUUCUGGGGCCAGAAUGAAGAAGGGUGCAAGGGAGACUCCAUCAUCACCCUUAGAAACAUGAAAAUCUUAAUAAACAAUGGUAAUAGAAAACUGACCUACACAGGCCAGGCACUGUGGCUCACGCCUGUAAUCCCAGCACUUUGGGAGGCCGAGGUGGGUGGAUCACCUGAGGUCGGGAGUUCAAGACCAGCCUGACCAACAUGGAGAAACCCCGUCUCUACUAAAAAUACAAAAUUAGCCAGAUGUAAUAGCUGUAAUCCCAGCUACUCAGGGAGGCUGAGACAGGAGAAUCACUUGAACUCAGGAGGAAGAGGUUGCGGUGAGCUGAGAUCGCGCCAUUGCACUCCAGCCUGGGCAACACAGUGAAACUCUGUCUCGAAAAAAAAAAAAAAAAGAAAGAAAGAAAAUUGACC
Long non-coding RNA from Symphalangus syndactylus (siamang), 3324 nucleotides. RefSeq lists it as uncharacterized. The record is from RefSeq and is a predicted model, not a curated record. NCBI's taxonomy places the organism in Eukaryota, Metazoa, Chordata, Mammalia, Primates, Hylobatidae.